GUAGAACCCCACCCUUGUGUAUAUUAUAUUGUUGCUUUAGCAGGUCGCCCUCUNNGCGUCGGCCUCGGCUGACUGUGCCUGCUAGAGGACCCUAAAUUUUGAAAUACAGUGUCGUCUGAGUACUAUUUAAUAGUUAAAACUUUCAACAACGGAUCUCUUGGUUCUGGCAUCGAUGAAGAACGCAGCGAAAUGCGAUAAGUAAUGUGAAUUGCAGAAUUCAGUGAAUCAUCGAAUCUUUGAACGCACAUUGCGCCCCUUGGUAUUCCGGGGGGCAUGCCUGUUCGAGCGUCAUUUAGACCAACUCCCGCUCCGGCGGGGUCUUGGGCUGCGCCUUUGGGCGGGCCUUAAAACCAGUGGCGGUGCCCUAAGGCUCUACGCGUAGUAAUUCUUCUCGCGAUAGGGUCCUUGCGGUGUCUUGCCAGCAACCCCCAACUCUCUAGGGUUGACCUCGGAUCAGGUAGGGAUACCCGCUGAACUUAAGCAUAUCAAUAAGCGGAGGAA
Molecule: ribosomal RNA, 501 nt
Filed under: Hymenoscyphus fraxineus
Lineage: Eukaryota; Fungi; Ascomycota; Leotiomycetes; Helotiales; Helotiaceae
Description: eukaryotic LSU rRNA
Rfam family: 5.8S ribosomal RNA (bases 138-291)
Source: RNAcentral